Molecule: ribosomal RNA, 440 nt
Filed under: uncultured bacterium
Lineage: Bacteria
Description: partial 16S ribosomal RNA
Rfam family: Bacterial small subunit ribosomal RNA
Source: RNAcentral
CCUACGGGCGGCAGCAGUGGGGAAUAUUGCACAAUGGGGGAAACCCUGAUGCAGCGACGCCGCGUGAGUGAAGAAGUAUUUCGGUACGUAAAGCUCUAUCAGCAGGGAAGAAAAUGACGGUACCUGACUAAGAAGCCCCGGCUAACUACGGGCCAGCAGCCGCGGUAAUACGUAGGGGGCAAGCGUUAUCCGGAUUUACUGGGUGUAAAGGGAGCGUAGACGGCAGCGCAAGUCUGGAGUGAAAUCCCAUGGCUUAACCAUGGAACUGCUUUGGAAACUGUGCAGCUAGAGUGCAGGAGAGGUAAGCGGAAUUCCUAGUGUAGCGGUGAAAUGCGUAGAUAUUAGGAGGAACACCAGUGGCGAAGGCGACUUACUGGACUGUAACUGACGUUGAGGCUCGAAAGCGUGGGGAGCAAACAGGAUUAGAUACCCGGGUAGUC